ACGGGCGUAGCUCAAUUGGCAGAGCACCGGAUUCCAAAUCCGGCGGUUGGGGGUUCAAAUCCCUCCGCCCGUGCC
Molecule: transfer RNA, 75 nt
Filed under: Planctomycetaceae bacterium
Lineage: Bacteria; Pseudomonadati; Planctomycetota; Planctomycetia; Planctomycetales; Planctomycetaceae
Description: tRNA-Trp
Rfam family: tRNA
About the family: Transfer RNA (tRNA) molecules are approximately 80 nucleotides in length. Their secondary structure includes four short double-helical elements and three loops (D, anti-codon, and T loops). Further hydrogen bonds mediate the characteristic L-shaped molecular structure. tRNAs have two regions of fundamental functional importance: the anti-codon, which is responsible for specific mRNA codon recognition, and the 3' end, to which the tRNAs corresponding amino acid is attached (by aminoacyl-tRNA synthetases). tRNAs cope with the degeneracy of the genetic code in two manners: having more than one tRNA (with a specific anti-codon) for a particular amino acid; and 'wobble' base-pairing, i.e. permitting non-standard base-pairing at the 3rd anti-codon position.
Source: RNAcentral